Molecule: long non-coding RNA, 418 nt
Organism: Tupaia belangeri chinensis (Chinese tree shrew)
Lineage: Eukaryota; Metazoa; Chordata; Mammalia; Scandentia; Tupaiidae
Exons: 3
Source: RefSeq, a predicted model, not a curated record
UAUUAGUAGAGGCUGAUAGGCAGUUCUCUCCCCCAUGGAAGGAGCCUCAACAAACAAAUGACCCUUCAAGAGAAGAUGGGUGCCUCAUAUGGAAUGAAUCACUUAAUAAAGGGGGAGCUCUUUUGUUAAGUUGGUGGGAAAGGACCCCAGGUCUUCAAGGGCUGACAAAGACUCCCUCAAGGGGCCCUGAAAGAAGGAAACCAUUUUCUAUUGAAGAGGAAUUUGUGUUUCAUCUGAGGAUCCCGACUGCUCUGAAGAGUGCGUGGUAGAAGUCAUGAAGAACUCAUUCUCCACGUGAAGUUCCUGCACUGUGCCUGGAUCCUGACAGACAUAUCUGGAUGAGAGGUCUGGGGAAUGGGUGAUGGAAUUACAAGGAAGCCACCUCAACCAGCGCCCGGCCAUGGCUCCCCUCUUCUUG